ACCAGACUCCUACGGGAGGCAGCAGUGGGGGAUAUUGCACAAUGGGGGGAACCCUGAUGCAGCGACGCCGCGUGGGUGAAGAAGCGCCUCGGCGCGUAAAGCCCUGUCAGCAGGGAAGAAAAUGACGGUACCUGAAGAAGAAGCCCCGGCUAACUACGUGCCAGCAGCCGCGGUAAUACGUAGGGGGCAAGCGUUAUCCGGAUUUACUGGGUGUAAAGGGGGCGCAGACGGCGAUGCAAGCCAGGAGUGAAAGCCCGGGGCCCAACCCCGGGACUGCUCUUGGAACUGCGUGGCUGGAGUGCAGGAGGGGCAGGCGGAAUUCCUGGUGUAGCGGUGAAAUGCGUGGAUAUCAGGAGGAACACCGGUGGCGAAGGCGGCCUGCUGGACUGCGACUGACGUUGAGGCCCGAAAGCGUGGGGAGCAAACAGGAUUAGAUACCCCGGUACC
RNAcentral lists this ribosomal RNA (447 nucleotides) under uncultured bacterium. RNAcentral describes it as "partial 16S ribosomal RNA". It matches the Rfam family "Bacterial small subunit ribosomal RNA", at positions 330 to 794 of the family's 1533-position model. The record is from RNAcentral.